This 234-nucleotide unclassified non-coding RNA is filed under the name Glomeraceae sp. RNAcentral's name for it is "partial internal transcribed spacer 2". The record is from RNAcentral. Lineage: Eukaryota; Fungi; Glomeromycota; Glomeromycetes; Glomerales; Glomeraceae.
GUGAAUCAUCAAAUUUUUGAACGCAAAUUGCACUCUCUUCGGUGCGUAUGCGUAUGUCUGUGUCAGCCUCAAUAAAAUCGACAACGUUGCUUUUUUGCGGUGGCUGUCGUCGGCAGUUGGGUUAUCUUUCAUCUUUGGUUUAAGCGACUUAACUUUAUCUUUCCGAUUCCAUGAACGUUUCCAAGAUUUAUUUCUUUUCACGUUUAAGGUAUCGAUUUUAUUAGGCGUGGUCUU